This 687-nucleotide ribosomal RNA is filed under the name uncultured fungus. RNAcentral describes it as "SSU rRNA". It matches the Rfam family "Eukaryotic small subunit ribosomal RNA", at positions 420 to 1112 of the family's 1831-position model. The record is from RNAcentral. Lineage: Eukaryota; Fungi.
GGAAGGCAGCAGGCGCGCAAAUUACCCAAUCCCGAUCCGGGGAGGUAGUGACAAUAAAUACUGAUACGGGGCUCUUUCGGGUCUCGUAAUUGGAAUGAGUACAAUCUAAAUCCCUUAACGAGGAACAAUUGGAGGGCAAGUCUGGUGCCAGCAGCCGCGGUAAUUCCAGCUCCAAUAGCGUAUAUUAAAGUUGUUGCCGUUAAAAAGCUCGUAGUUGAACCUUGGACCUGGCUGAUCUGUCCUCCUAAUCGAGCGCACGGAUUCGGUCGGGUCUUUCCUUCUGGGGAGCCCUAUGCCCUUCACUGGGUGUAGUGGGGAACCAGGACUUUUACCUUGAAAAAAUUAGAGUGUUCAAAGCAGGCCUUUGCUCGAAUACAUUAGCAUGGAAUAAUAGAAUAGGACAUCGGUUCUAUUUUGUUGGUUUCUAGGACCGCUGUAAUGAUUAAUAGGGAUAGUCGGGGGCGUCAGUAUUCAAUUGUCAGAGGUGAAAUUCUUGGAUUUAUUGAAGACUAACUACUGCGAAAGCAUUCGCCAAGGAUGUUUUCAUUAAUCAGUGAACGAAAGUUAGGGGAUCGAAGACGAUCAGAUACCGUCGUAGUCUUAACCAUAAACUAUGCCGACUAGGGAUCGGACGGUGGUUUUUUUAUGCCCCGUUCGGCACCUUACGAGAAAUCAAAGUUUUUGGGC